This 200-nucleotide unclassified non-coding RNA is filed under the name Xylodon sp. Its description in RNAcentral is "partial internal transcribed spacer 2". Lineage: Eukaryota; Fungi; Basidiomycota; Agaricomycetes; Hymenochaetales; Schizoporaceae. The record is from RNAcentral.
UUAAGUUCAGCGGGUAGUCCUACCUGAUUUGAGGUCGAAAUGAUCAGAGAUUGUCCCUAAGGACGAUUAGAAGCUAGCUUCAACUCGAGCGAUGCAGUGAAGACAUUAUCACACCGCAUAUAUGCUGCGAAUAGAGAUCCAGCUAAUGCAUUCAAGGGAAGCCAGAACCCAGUAAUGGGCCAGCAAAGUCCCCAAGUCCA